UCUUCAUUGCACCAAUUAGAUUUAAAAUUCUACUAGAAAGUUCCUAUAAAGUAUUUGAUUGGAUCAACAUUUUCGGUUGAAAACUUGUUUACAGGACAUACGAAAUUAUCGGAAAACGAUUUUGGAGCAUUAAAAAUUAAUUUAAAUAUAAAUAUCUUAUAUAUCCUAUAUAACAUAGAUAUUUAUAGGUUAAGUUAGAUUAGAUUAUAUAUUGUUUAUUUAGUGUGAACUAACCAACUUGUAUGGAAAAUAAAAAUACUAUAACGAUUUUGACUGCUGAGAAAUCUACUAAUUUCAACUACAGUUUAAUAAGCAUAGAUACGUUUAUUUUAUAUUAAUAUUUUUCUGAACCAUAUAAAAAUAAGCAAAAUUAUUAUGACAAAUCUUUGAUAAGUAGACAACAUUAAAUUGAUCUGAAAAUGACUGACACGAUUUAGUUUUGUAUUGUCACUUCCUUAUCACCUGUAUAAUACUAAUGACAAGUAGAUUUAUUUUCGUGAACUAUUCUAUAAAACACCCACUUGAAUAUUUUACACAAUAGAUUGAAUUAGGUAUUUUGAAACCAGUACCUACCUAUAACCUAUAAUAUAAAAAGUGAAUACUAUAA
This is a non-coding RNA of Cinara cedri, 607 nucleotides long. Lineage: Eukaryota; Metazoa; Arthropoda; Insecta; Hemiptera; Aphididae. The record is from the annotation of a GenBank genome assembly.